AUUAGCUAGUUGGUGAGGUAAUGGCUCACCAAGGCGACGAUCCCUAGCUGGUCUGAGAGGAUGAUCAGCCACACUGGAACUGAGACACGGUCCAGACUCCUACGGGAGGCAGCAGUGGGGAAUAUUGCACAAUGGGCGCAAGCCUGAUGCAGCCAUGCCGCGUGUAUGAAGAAGGCCUUCGGGUUGUAAAGUACUUUCAGUCGUGAGGAAGGUAGUUGCGUUAAUAGCGUAAUUAUUUGACGUUAGCGACAGAAGAAGCACCGGCUAACUCCGUGCCAGCAGCCGCGGUAAUACGGAGGGUGCGAGCGUUAAUCGGAAUUACUGGGCGUAAAGCGCAUGCAGGUGGUUUGUUAAGUCAGAUGUGAAAGCCCGGGGCUCAACCUCGGAACUGCAUUUGAAACUGGCAAACUAGAGUACUGUAGAGGGGGGUAGAAUUUCAGGUGUAGCGGUGAAAUGCGUAGAGAUCUGAAGGAAUACCAGUGGCGAAGGCGGCCCCCUGGACAGAUACUGACACUCAGAUGCGAAAGCGUGGGGAGCAAACAGGAUUAGAUACCC
This 555-nucleotide ribosomal RNA is filed under the name Vibrio scophthalmi. Its description in RNAcentral is "bacterial SSU rRNA". It matches the Rfam family "Bacterial small subunit ribosomal RNA", at positions 240 to 787 of the family's 1533-position model. Lineage: Bacteria; Pseudomonadati; Pseudomonadota; Gammaproteobacteria; Vibrionales; Vibrionaceae. The record is from RNAcentral.